Molecule: ribosomal RNA, 1252 nt
Filed under: Rose phytoplasma Gorakhpur
Lineage: Bacteria; Bacillati; Mycoplasmatota; Mollicutes; Acholeplasmatales; Acholeplasmataceae
Also listed under: 1 other name
Description: bacterial SSU rRNA
Rfam family: Bacterial small subunit ribosomal RNA
Source: RNAcentral
GAAACGACUGCUAAGACUGGAUAGGAGACAAGAGGGCAUCUUCUUGUUUUUAAAAGACCUAGCAAUAGGUAUGCUUAGGGAGGAGCUUGCGUCACAUUAGUUAGUUGGUGGGGUAAAGGCCUACCAAGACUAUGAUGUGUAGCCGGGCUGAGAGGUUGAACGGCCACAUUGGGACUGAGACACGGCCCAAACUCCUACGGGAGGCAGCAGUAGGGAAUUUUCGGCAAUGGAGGAAACUCUGACCGAGCAACGCCGCGUGAACGAUGAAGUAUUUCGGUACGUAAAGUUCUUUUAUUAGGGAAGAAUAAAUGAUGGAAAAAUCAUUCUGACGGUACCUAAUGAAUAAGCCCCGGCUAACUAUGUGCCAGCAGCCGCGGUAAUACAUAGGGGGCAAGCGUUAUCCGGAAUUAUUGGGCGUAAAGGGUGCGUAGGCGGUUAAAUAAGUUUAUGGUCUAAGUGCAAUGCUCAACAUUGUGAUGCUAUAAAAACUGUUUAGCUAGAGUAAGAUAGAGGCAAGUGGAAUUCCAUGUGUAGUGGUAAAAUGCGUAAAUAUAUGGAGGAACACCAGUAGCGAAGGCGGCUUGCUGGGUCUUUACUGACGCUGAGGCACGAAAGCGUGGGGAGCAAACAGGAUUAGAUACCCUGGUAGUCCACGCCGUAAACGAUGAGUACUAAACGUUGGGUAAAACCAGUGUUGAAGUUAACACAUUAAGUACUCCGCCUGAGUAGUACGUACGCAAGUAUGAAACUUAAAGGAAUUGACGGGACUCCGCACAAGCGGUGGAUCAUGUUGUUUAAUUCGAAGGUACCCGAAAAACCUCACCAGGUCUUGACAUGCUUCUGCAAAGCUGUAGAAACACAGUGGAGGUUAUCAGUUGCACAGGUGGUGCAUGGUUGUCGUCAGCUCGUGUCGUGAGAUGUUGGGUUAAGUCCCGCAACGAGCGCAACCCUUAUUGUUAGUUACCAGCACGUAAUGGUGGGGACUUUAGCAAGACUGCCAGUGAUAAAUUGGAGGAAGGUGGGGACGACGUCGAAUCAUCAUGCCCCUUAUGACCUGGGCUACAAACGUGAUACAAUGGCUGUUACAAAGGGUAGCUGAAGCGCAAGUUUUUGGCGAAUCUCAAAAAAACAGUCUCAGUUCGGAUUGAAGUCUGCAACUCGACUUCAUGAAGUUGGAAUCGCUAGUAAUCGCGAAUCAGCAUGUCGCGGUGAAUACGUUCACGGGGUUUGUACACACCGCCCGUCAAAUCAC